RNAcentral lists this ribosomal RNA (396 nucleotides) under uncultured bacterium. RNAcentral describes it as "partial 16S ribosomal RNA". It matches the Rfam family "Bacterial small subunit ribosomal RNA", at positions 523 to 917 of the family's 1533-position model. The record is from RNAcentral.
AUACGUAGGGGGCGAGCGUUGUCCGGAAUGACUGGGCGUAAAGGGCGUGUAGGCGGCCGAUUAAGUCUGGAGUGAAAGUCCUGCUUUCAAGGUGGGAAUUGCUUUGGAGACUGGUUGGCUUGAGUGCGGAAGAGGUAAGUGGAAUUCCCAGUGUAGCGGUGAAAUGCGUAGAGAUUGGGAGGAACACCAGUGGCGAAGGCGACUUACUGGGCGGUAACUGACGCGGAGGCGCGAAAGCGUGGGGAGCGAACAGGAUUAGAUACCCGGGUAGUCCACGCGGUAAGCGAUGAAUGCUAGGUGUUGGGGGUAUGGACCCGUGGAUCGCCGGAGUAAACACAAUAAGCAAGCGGCCUGGGGAGUACGGCGGCAAGGUUGAAACGCAAAGGAAUUGACGGG